Long non-coding RNA from Camelus dromedarius (Arabian camel), 5461 nucleotides. RefSeq lists it as uncharacterized. NCBI's taxonomy places the organism in Eukaryota, Metazoa, Chordata, Mammalia, Artiodactyla, Camelidae. The transcript has 3 exons. The record is from RefSeq and is a predicted model, not a curated record.
GGGGGUCGGGCCGGGGCUGUAGGAGGGCUGUGAGCUGUGACAGCCCAGAGCCCUCUCGCUGUCUCCCAAGGGAUGUUUCUUUCAUUCCUUUCUUUCGUCUUUCCUUUCACCAACGUUGACUGACUUUCUGACCUGGCUCUUUAGGUUUCCAUCCUGAAAGCAGCACCCUGAUCUCACUCAAGGCCGGUUCUCACUGCACUGCAGUGACCCGGGACUGGUCAGGAGCCACCUAGACGAGACCUGCCGUUGGCAGUGAUAUGCAGGGACCCUCAAGCCUCCGUCCCAUACUGUCACUGCAGGGUCCUACUACCUUGGUGUGUCGGUAAGUCUCCAAAGGUAGCCGCGUGAUUGGUGAGCCAGCCGCCCCUGCUGUUACAACUCAGAUAAGAAACUUGGCUCCGGAAGGCUUUGACCUUGAGUUGAAUCUUUCCAGGUCUGAAACCCUUAUAAAAGUACUAGAAGAAACCAGGGGACACCUCCAAGUGAGACCUUCCUAAACAGGACUCAGAACCCAAAGCCUUAAAAGGCAAAACACUGAUACACUCAACUACAAAAAACAAACCUACAUGACAAAAGACUUCAAAGUCAAAAGGAAAUAGUAGAAGAAAAAAUUUGGAACACCCGUGGCAGACAAGGAGCCUUUGCUUUGUAAGUAAAGAGUUCCUACAAAAAUAAGAACAAAAACCCCAAAGUCGAGUUGACCAAGGAUGUGUGACAGAAGCUGCCAGUUGCCUCCCAGUAUCCUCUGUCCUCUUCUCCCUUCUUCACGGAUACCCGGGCAAUGCUCCCGGUUAAGAAGCCCUGUGGUCCAGGUACCCUCAGACGUAGCCAUGUCAGAGUUGUCGCUGAGGCAGAAGCGAAGUGUCCCAGAGAGCUUCUGGAAGACUUCUAAGCUUAGAAGAGGCACAUACCUUCUGGCCGUUUUCUUUUUCCUUCUUGCAGCCUGCGAUGUAGACACAAUGGCUGGUCUUCCAGCAGCUAUCUUGGGCCAUAAGUGACCUAUAAGACGGAGCCACAUUUUAACAUGGUACCAGAGAAAGAAACAGGGACCUUGAGACCCUGAUAAGCUUGCAGCCUUCAUGCCAGCCUGAACUACUCAUCUCGAUAGGACCUGUGUGGGAGUAAACCUCGAGUUUAAAGCCUCUGUAGUCUGACCUCCUACCCAGAACCACCCUGAUACCAGUCUUAACUGGCAGUCCAGCAGGGUCCGACUGCCGCACUGCUCCAUCUCAAGGUCACCUUCCAAGGAGUUCAAUUAAUUGUGAAGGCGGGGUCUCCAGAAGACCCACUGUGGAAGGAAACCAGCCCGCCACACCAGCAGGCCGAGAGAUCCCAAGACCCGACGGAGAGCUGGCCUCUCCAGAUGACAGCUGCACAGUGACCUCUGAAGUGCUCUGUGAGCGUCUGGGUGCUCUGAAUAUGGGGCAGCGCAGGGAGAAAUAAAACGUCAAAUAUUAUUUUCAUUUUUCUCCUUUUCCUCCGACAUGGUUUAUUUGUCACAAUCACACAUUCUAACUGGAGCGUGGAAUUCCUGGAAUUCACGGCUGUGCAGGGGAGGAAACCAGAGUCCCUGAGGCAGCACGGACCUUAGUCGCCAUCACAUUUUCCCACGUCCUGAAGCUGUAAACGUUGACUUCGUCCUUUUUCAGGUUUUCAGACAGCGUACCAGAAAGAACGGGAUACUGUGAUCCAGUAGAGAUGCAGUGUUCUUUGCUAGCUUGAUCUUUUGGCGGCUCUCACCCACCUGCAGGCAACCCUGAAUGUUGCAUCCCAGGACAACUGCCGGGUGAAGGGGCUCCACUUCAGCGACGCUGAUCUCCUGGUGCAGUGCUGUCUGUCAGAGCCUCUGCCCUGGGAAGUGAUGGAGAUGCUUUACGUCCGGGCCGUCCGAUGUGGGGACCACUCGUCACGUGUGGCUGUUGUCAACGAGGAACUGAAUCUCUUAUCCGAUUGCAUCUUAAUUCAGGGAGAAAACCUGCCACACUGUGUCCAGCUUCUCGCACGCGGCACCAGCACGUUAGGCGCGGACUGGAUUAGAAACCCUCCCGAGAUGUGUGACGUCUUCGUCACUUUGAGCCACAGAGAUGGUUCCUUCAACUUGGCUCUUCCUCCCUGGCCCUCGAAGAGUUGGAUGGCGUGAGACUCGACCCCAGCAGGGGCCGGGGGACCUACUGAAGGCUUUGGCGAUUGGCGGGGACGCUGCUUCCCUGCAGGUGGGGUCUGUGAUGCCUCCAAGGUCAGGAGCCCCGUCUUCCAAGCCACGUCUUGUGACCCAGAGUCCACGAUGGGCCGUCAGUCAUGGUCGAGGCGAUGGUCAGAGGCUCUGCCUUCUGUGAACUCGUGAACAUCUUCUCAGCAGGUUGGGGUUGGGGUUUAUAGAGCAAGAAACAGAAUUCUAGCCUCUAAGUCAAUGAGAGAUGACCUCCAGGCUUCCUCCCCGACCCCCAAGCAGGUCUGUUCCUCGAAGGCCAGAACCCUAUCUUUCCAACACCGGUCCCCGUCUUCUGUGGACAAAAACUGAAAGCUUAAUGAAAUUACCUUUUCCCUUUUUCUAAGUGCUCCAGGGUGCUCCAAGACGUAAAGCAAAAACAUCCUUUUCCUUCUAACUGCGGUCCCAAGAGCACGCUCAGUAAACUCCCUAGAGGCAGCUGGGAGGGAAGACGCGGCCCCGGCGCCCGCUCGGCAGCCUCGCCACGCCCGGCACCGCCGUUCCCGCGGGGGUAGCAGUUGUGGGCCUGCUCUGAUGUGGUGCCGGCUGCCGGGAUCAAAGCUGGGCUCGGGUUUCUCCCCUUUGAGCCGAAAUGCUCUAGCCUGUGAUUUGUUCACCCGCUGAGACAGAUGUGGGCGCCUGGCCUGCUGUCAUCGGCCCUGUAAUCUUGCCGGAGUGAGGGGUGCUCCCAGGAGAGGGUGUCGCGGUGGAAGCGCCCCACGUCAGCAGAGCUGCAGCGGCCUCCCCACCAGCCGGCGCCUGGGGCCUGAGGCACGACGGGAGCAGAUGCAGAGCUUUCAGUCAGACUCAGCCUUUGAUCCCAAACUACUCCUAUGCCAGGGACCCGUUGUAUUAAGUCAUUGCCAGAGUCCUGGGAUAUAAUAAAAGCACAGCUGGACCAGAGUGGGGAAGGAGGCUUAAAUGAUGCCACUGAAACUCGGGUUCUUAAGGGGUGAGAUACACCUGUUAGUUGCCUGAGGCGAAGACACUUACGCCCUCCUGGAUCUCAGUGACAGCUUCCCGCUCACAGCGUGGGUCUCCCAGGCCGCUGUGUGUUUAGCCAGCACAGUGACAGGUGUGGUGAAAGACACAGAAGAAGUUAUUCUUUCCUCCUGCAAAGGUUUGGAGAUCGCUUACCAGGACAUACACAAUAAAAAUGGUAAAAGUGAAAACAGGUGAAACACGGGAUCAGGGAAAACAAGUAAGAGGGGUAAUUGGAAGAAAGAAACACAAGCCUCUGCCCUGCCUCCAGGAGAGCGCGGUCUGGGUGAGGGGAAACGCGCUGACGGGUACGAGGAACGUUGGGAAACAGGGCCUCCCUGUAGUAGUAACUGUGAGGCGGAGACGAUGAGCACAACGUGCGCGGGGAGGAGAGGGAGGCUGCGGGCAGGCGUGAGUCUCAGAUGAAAGGGGCUGGGAUCCGGGCCUCGAGGUUGGAGGCAUUCCCACCACAUGUCCGAGGAAGGCCAGGACCACGGCACCACGGCGCAGCGGGAGACGCGAGGCAGCUCCUCUCCAGGAGACGGAGCCCCGGGCUCACGCAGGAAACGUGGGAUUUGCUGGGAGCCCAGGGCCAGGUGCCGGCAAGUCGGGAAAGGCAAGCAGGAGGCUCGCCUCGAUCCCGCUGGGGGCUUUCUGGUGCGGAGGGCGUGGAGAGGAGCCCCCACCCCCUGGCAGUCGUGUGUGAGAUUGGAGUGGGAGCCGGGCGGGGGGCAGAGGGGGUGAAGAGGGACGCCCGGUGGAAGAGACAGGAGAAAGCGCCCAUCGGAACUAAUGGCUGAAGAAUAUGGAGAUGCUGACUAUACUUCAAUUUACAAAAAGAAAAAAAAUACAGAGAUGGAGGGGACAGGACAAAAACCACGUGUAAGAUCUGUGUCGGGGUGACCCUGGCAGGAAUGGAGCCUCUUGGGGGUGCAGAACUCGGGGAGGCAAGCGGUUCCAGGUCUUGAUGGGAAGUUUUAUUUUGGAAAUGUUGAGUUGGAAAUGCUAAGUUGGAAAUGAUGGCAGGCGUUUAAACUAAAUUUCUUGCUGAAAACAGGACAUUUAAGUUCAAGUAGGGUGACAGUGAGAAAGCCACCAGCCGGAUGACUUUGACCUCCUUCAAGGAGAGGGCUGGGUGGGCAGGACCAGCCAGGACCGAGGGCAGUGGUUUGGGAAGGCUCACAGGGACCGUGCUUCCCUCUGGUGAUGAGGGCGGGAGGAGGGUCAGGACAUGUCCCGGUCACAGCAGCCAGGAGGGCGCUUCCAGUAGGAGAGGCCAAGCGGGAGCCAUGGCAGUGGACGGGGUGCCGAGGAGGCGCUCGGUGCUCCCCGGUCUCCCAUCUCACGGAGCCCCUGAGUGGGAUGCUACAUGUGACCUCCUGGGACCUUCUGCUCACAAGGCUUUGGAACCAAACCAAGAAGUUCUUGGCAGCCAUCCUGACCCUCUUCCUCCCUCUGUUUAAAAAUAAAAAAAAGAAAAGCAAUUUCUCUUUGAGAAAAGAACGCAAAGACCUUGUAGACAUGAUAAAGUCGAGCUGAAAUAAAUUCCUGUGUUCUUGCUAUAAUUAGUUGUGCAGUGAUGUGUAAUUCUGCUGGCGUACAGGGAUUGACAUACAAAAAGUGUGUCUUUAAAAUCGUACAGAAAUCUCACUGAACAAAGCCCAAAAUCUGAUAUGCAAACAUGACAGUUUCCAUUUUUUUUUUGUGUUGUGUGCAAAGAAAGAACAGAGUGUUUAUGAAACAGUCACCAACCCCACUGUCCACCUUGCUGUUUGUAUAAUUGCAGAGAGCCCAUGUCCCUGGUACAAGUAGCAGUUUGGACUUGCCUCUGUGAACACCUGCAAGCAUCCCACUUGCUGUUGGACCUGCUCCAUGGCCAGGUGUUCCCUUCGUGGGAUUUCUGUCUGUCCGUAAUCCUGUUCUCAGCUUCUUGUUACACCUCUCCCUCUGGGUGUGUGGCCACGGAAGAAACACGUUAUUGUGGAUUCUGUCUGUUAACUCACGAUCAAGGACACGGGGUGACGUGAAGAUGUGUUUCCUUCGUGACGGGACAGAAUGGAGGAGAAGUACCCAGAACUGCGUGUUUCUCCUUCAAGGGAAGGAGAUGUCCUGGGACCCAGACCAUCCCGCUGAUCCUCACAGACCCAGUCCGGACAGUGGGUCCCUGGGCCUCAGACGGCAAAAACGGGCCUGGGGCGUGGUCGCCAGAUGCAGUGGGAGACCCUCCGGUGCUUUACAGGCCCCCGUCCUCCUGCCCUGGGCUAACGGGCU